RNAcentral lists this long non-coding RNA (5134 nucleotides) under Sus scrofa (pig). RNAcentral describes it as "lncRNA (ENSSSCG00005008439.1)". Lineage: Eukaryota; Metazoa; Chordata; Mammalia; Artiodactyla; Suidae. The record is from RNAcentral.
AAUACAGUAGGGACAAAAAGUCAAUCCAGCAAACUCCUUAGGGACAAACUGCUUUCUUCAUCCUAUCCUGAAGGGUGAGCCAGAUCAGAGUAAGCCUAGGUAGUAGAAUGACAGUUCAUCUGCAUUUGAAAAGAACUGUUAGGAUUAAGCGAAGAGUUCCAAAGUAUCCAUCAGACCUCACCUGUAAAUGACACUUAGCAACUUCCCUACUAAAAAUCCUACUAAAAAUGCCGAAUUCUGAGACAAAUGUCAAGGUACAAAUAUACAGAAUCCCUUAAGACUACCUUAGAGGACAAAUGUUCCAGAAGUCUAUCCCUGGAUAAAUUCUUCAAAAAUAUUUAUAAUUACACGGGUUCAAUCACUGUAUGUUGAAAUCAUUCCCAGAUUUUUCACUUCCACAAAAUUUCCACAUCCAAUAAAUAUCAUCUGUCAUAGAAAGAAAGUUACAAUAAACUAAUUUGUAAUUAGUCAAUUUUGAAGAAUGAGAAUACUAAGUUCCCUGGUGGCACAGCAGGUUAAGGACCUGACUUUGUCACUGAUGUGGCGCAGGUUCAGUCCUAGCCUGGGAACUUCCACAUGCCAUGGUGUGGCCCCCCAAAAAAAUCUUCUUUUCAUAAACCACAGCCUCAAUGUAUUUACAAUUUGCAUUUUCUUAGAAGAGAGAACUUAAAGAUACCUGCAAAGCCAGAGGAAUCCUUUUAGAUUUUUAUCUUCCCCUAGGCAUUCAGCUCCCUAACCUAUGCUUAAUGCAGUGCGUAAUCUUUUCAGAAGCUUUAUCAAUUCAUGCAAAAGACAAUUUUCACUGAAGUAUCUCUUUUUUUCCCCACACACAUUUCAUCAAUUUCAUCAUGUUUAAGUAAAUCAAAUAGCAAUUACAGUUGGCAGUAUCGGUUUGGAAACAAAAUGACUUUGGUAAGCAUACAACUUAACAGAAACAGAAGGUACUUCAUAAAUUAUUAGAAACCAAUGCUUUUAAUGAUAUUAAUCAUUUGCCUCAAUAAUCAAAUUGCCUAAGCUUAGAAAGUGCAUGUCCCCCUUUGUAGGUAAGAAAGAUGAAAACAAUUAUUAAUCAUUGCUUAUAUUAAGCCAACUUGUUAAAUACCCUUCAACUCAAAAGGUCAUAUAAGCAGUCUCAAACUUAGAAGAGCCAUUCUUCUUGCCCCUCUUUGGCUACACACCCUUAACUCCAGAAGUCUCUCUGCUACUCUCACAGAAACAGUCAUGAAUAAAGAGAAGCUCUGAGAGAGAUGGGCUCCUAAAGGAAUAGAGGCAAGACUUGAAAAGUAGAAAUAGCUUAGAGCUGAUUAUUCCCAAGGGAGAAUCUUAAAUCAGGGCUGCUUAUAUAAUAACCCACUCCCCUAAAACAUCCUCCUUUCAUUGUCUAACUUUAUUUAUUCACUUUCCUGUGGUACCUGCCAGAUAUUUUGCCAAACAAUUCAUGUUUUUAACAACCAUCUUUUAAAAAUAAUAAUGAUAGCACCUGCAAAAAUGAUUUUAGCAUAACAGUUCAUUCUGAUAAUUAGGAGAGAGAAGUAUGACAGAAAUGAGGCACUGAGGAAGAAGAAGUAGGAGAUUCUGGAACACUGAGAAACAGAAGAUCUGGCAGGGGGGAAAUCACAGAAGGAAGGGUGUCAUCUGAAGGGAGGGGCACCAUUAUGUGGAAAAGGGGUACAGAAAGGGAUUUGGGGGAUCCCAAUGAUAAAAUUUACCAACUUCUGCCACAGGGUGACCAAAAAAAAUUUUUUUUCAUUCUUUUUGUCAAUUUCAAGAUACAACCUAUGGUCAGCCCUACACCUAGAAAAGAAGCAGGUAGGUACUCUCUCUUCAUCAUUCCCAUACUACAUGGCACAUGACUGCUCCCAGAGCCCAGACUCAUACUAUUAAUAGGGAGUUCCCUUUUGGCUCAGCAGGUUAAGGACCAAGCGUUGUCAAUGCUGUGGCUUGGGUCCCUGCUGUGGCACAGGUUCAACCCCUGGCCCAGAAAGGGGCAUGGCCAAAAAGAAGGAAAAACAAACAAACAAACAAACAAAAAACAGCUCAUGUGUAAUGUACAUUAAGUAGAAUUUGCAAAAAGGGAGCUACCCUGGGAACCUAACCUCCCUACAUAACCUGCUGCCAAAGAAACAGUGUUCUCAGAGAUAUGAAAAAAGAAAAAUGUCUUACAAACACUUUUUGAAAUACAGCAUGUUCCUAGUAUCUACAAGACUAAAGAAUACUCACAGAGCAAAACUUAAAAUGCAGAGAUCAAAGAAGAAAGAAACUAAAGUUACCAUUUCCAAGAAAGCUGUGGUUGUUAUUAAAUCACUCUGUCAUAAUAUGCCAUAGAAGGUCAACCUUUGCUAAUAUUUGACUCUCUGUAUAAAAACUUCACACCCCAAGGGUUUUAACACACCUCCACCCCCCCCCCCCCGGGGGUUUCUCCCUGCCACACCUGCACCCAGGUUAAGGUGAGGAUAUGCUAUUUUCUGUCUAUUCCUGCUAGUCACGAUUUUGUAUAUUUUUUUGCAGCUUGCAUUAGGAAAGCAGGUAGGUUUUUAAAGACAACCACAACUCAUAGACCCAAGAGAUUCUUUGGGAGGGGCUCUGCUCCCAAAAACAAGCUACCUCAGUACUUAGUAACAAGGUCCCACAAUCACCUAGAGUUACUGUGUCCAAAAGCACACUCAUCCUCCUACCUACUUUUGUCUCUCCCUAACUCCACCAUGCCUGUUCUUCCUUCUCUCUUCCAGAUCCUACCCCAGUUCAGUCAAUCACCAAGGUUGAUAGUUCUAAAUACUAAUCUUCCUCCUUUUCUCCACCCCUAUUACCAAUGUCCUGGUUUAGCAGUUUAUUUCUUAUCUCUACAAUUAAAAUCACUUCGCUGGACUCUCAGCCUCCAAUAUUUCUAAUGCAUUUAGAAGACUUUAUUCUCAUUUGCUGUCUCAAGGAAAUACAACUUAGUAUCCUACUUGUUUCAACUUGGAACAAUAGUGCUCACUCAUAAACAUAUUUUCAAGCAAUAUAUGAAACCAGUUAGACUGAUUAAGAAAUUACUUUUUUCAGAGUGCUAGUCAUGGCUCAGUGGAAACGAAUCUGACUAGCAUCCAUGAGGACACAUGUUGAUCCCUGGUCUUGCUCAGAGGGUUAAGGAUGCGGCGUUGCCAUGAGCUGUGGUGUAGAUCACAUAUGCAGCUUGGAUCCCGCGUUUCUGUGACUGUGGUGUAGGCCAACAGCUACAGCUCCAAUUUGACCCCUAGCCUGGGAACCUCCAUAUACUGUGGGUGCAGCCCUAAAAAGACAAAAAAAAAAUACUGUUUUCAAUGUACUGGACAUCUUUCAUUAAUAGUAUGGCAAUAGUUAUAAUUAGCAUAAAAUAUAUAAGGUGGUCUAAAAAAAUCAGGAACAGAUUUUGUUUACUAAAAAAUCUACUUUGAAAAUACAAUUUGGUUUUUUUUAAUAAAAAUUUUAAUUGAUCCAGUCCACGUGAAAAUCCUGAAAAUUAAAUAUACUAUAAUCCAUGAACUCACAGUGAAGUCUUCUGUUCUGAAUGCGUUUUUCCCAUGUGGAAUGUGGGGGGAGGAAGGAGUAACUGGUGAGUCAGUUCCUAGCCUAUUUUAGCCCAAAUUAUUAAUCUUUCCUGUCUCUAAACUUCAGCCAUUCAUAUGGUGCUAAUCAAAUACUGAUGUGUAUACAAGUCACAUUCUCCUUAAUACUGUAAAUCCUAUAUUUCGCAACUUUCUAUUGUUCAGCACUAAAUAGAAUAUUAGGAAACUGAACAGCACUACAGUAUUUAUCAAGUAAGGGAAUAAUGUCUAUGGGAAAUGUGUGCCACACUUUAAGGCAAGGGAGUGGGAGGGGGCGAGCGGAAGCGGAAAAAGUUCAGACCUAUCAUCAGCCCCAAAAUUUGGGCCAUAAAGUCAGGCGAAAGGGCAGGCAGGACAGAGACUUGAGAUAUAAAUUGUUUCCAGCACCACUACAUUCAUGGAGGCCAUUGAGAAAGAAACAAAACAAAGACUGACUCCUACUGCCAUUGGGUCAUGGAGUCCCAAGGCAAUCUCUGUGGGACGGGGAGGAAAAAAGCUGGGCAGUAUUUUUGGGUGUAACAUACCUGGGGAGCCCCUUCCCAAGGGCCUUUCAUAUGGCCAUGUAUUUAUAACUCAGAGAAUUCCUGUCCUCUGCUUUGGUAGUAGUGUUCUUCAUAUUUUGAGGGCUCAAGAGGGAUUUUGCAAGAAUCACAAAUCUCUCAUGAGAAAGUUGUCUAGCAAAGGAUGAUUCAUGUCCUACAGACCUAUGUCUUUUCAGAGUAAUUUUGUAAUACAACAAGGAGCUUGAAAAAUUUCCCAGCCUGUAUCUUGCAAAAUAAUGUCCUGUUUCUAUAGCUACAAACCACUACACAAAAAAUAAUCAUUCUCUUUCAGUAAAACACAUGAUAGGUAAUAUCCCUAAACUCAAGAAAUUAGAAAAUAACCACAACACAUGCCACUUUGGCCUAAAUACCUUUGCCCUCAACUCAACUAAAACACUGAAUAACAGGUACGUAUAUAACAGAAAGGGAGUUCCACUUCAUUUUUACAGGAGCAGCUAAACCUUAAAAGCCUAUAUUUUAAGUUUUAAGUUCAAAUCAACAUAAUAAUUAAUAAAAACAAUGAUGAUGGAUACCAUUUGUCAUGUGUAACAAAACCAGUUUUUUGCAAAAACUAGAUUUGAAUACAGAUUAACACAUACUUUUGAUACCCUGGAUAUGUGAAAUCCUUUGUAUAUAGACAAACUUUCAUUCCUCUGGCUCCUAUCUCAAAUCCAUUCGGGCCUCUGUAGUAAUAAAACCUUUAAGAGCUGUAGGAAUCAAACUAAGUUGAGAGUGUCUCUUAAUACAAAGCUCACUUGUUUAACUGAAUUAAACUAAGCAGAGGAUUUGAGUUCAAAUCAUGGCCUUAGGAUGACUUUACCAUAGUUGGGAGCAAUAUAUCUCUUCUUACACUGUCACAGAAGAUUCAUAUGUGAAAAGGGAAAUAAACAAGUGAAUCAUGACAACACCUCAGUGAGGGUAAUUUUACCUGGUUCCCUGUAUCAUAGAUCUUGCAGCUUCCCUUGGAUUAUUCUGAGGACUGUAAUUCAGCCUACAAUGAAUGCAACACCUUCAGUGUGACAGCAGCAG